RNAcentral lists this ribosomal RNA (407 nucleotides) under uncultured bacterium. RNAcentral describes it as "partial 16S ribosomal RNA". It matches the Rfam family "Bacterial small subunit ribosomal RNA", at positions 30 to 526 of the family's 1533-position model. The record is from RNAcentral.
AUUGAACGCUGGCGGCAGGCCUAACACAUGCAAGUCGAGCGGAGCGGCGGACUGGUAAGGAAUGCCUAGGAAUCUGCCUGGGAGUGGGGGAUAACGUCCGGAAACGGGCGCUAAUACCGCAUACAAUCAGAAGAGCAUAGUUCGGAUUAGCUAGUUGGGGGGGUAAAGGCCUACCAAGGCGACGAUCCGUAACUGGUACGAGAGGGUGAUCAGUCCCACGGCAACUGAGCCACGGUCCAGACUCCUACGGGAGUCAGCAGUGGGGAAUAUUGGACAAUGGGCGAAAGCCUGAUCCAGCCAUGCCGCGUGUGUGAAGAAGGUCUUCGGAUUGUAAAGCACUUUAAGUUGGGAGGCGUUACCAACAGAAUAAGCACCGGCUAACUUCGUGCCAGCAGCCGCGGUAAUUC